AAAGGAAUAGACGGGUGCCCGCACAAGCGGUGGAGCAUGUGGUUUAAUUCGACGCAACGCGAAGAACCUUACCAGGCCUUGACAUGCCAGUAAAGGCCCUAGAGAUAGGGAGAUAGUUAUACUGGACACAGGUGGUGCAUGGUUGUCGUCAGCUCGUGUCGUGAGAUGUUGGGUUAAGUCCCGCAACGAGCGCAACCCUUGUCGAUAGUUACCAACAGUAAGAUGGGGACUCUAUUGAGACAGCCUCUGUAAGGAGGAGGAAGGUGGGGAUGACGUCAAAUCAUCAUGCCCUUUAUGGCCUGGGCAACACACGUGCUACAAUGGGGAGGACAAAGAGCUGCAAGCCCGCGAGGGUAAGCGAAUCUCAUAAACCUCUUCUCAGUUCGGAUUGGAGUCUGCAACUCGACUCCAUGAAGUUGGAAUCGCUAGUAAUCGCGAAUCAGCUAUGUCGCGGUGAAUACGUUCUCGGGCAUUGUACACACCGCCCGU
RNAcentral lists this ribosomal RNA (489 nucleotides) under uncultured bacterium. Its description in RNAcentral is "bacterial SSU rRNA". It matches the Rfam family "Bacterial small subunit ribosomal RNA", at positions 903 to 1397 of the family's 1533-position model. The record is from RNAcentral.